CCUACGGGAGGCAGCAGUGGGGAAUUUUCCGCAAUGGGCGAAAGCCUGACGGAGCAACGCCGCGUGAGGGAUGAAGGCCUCUGGGCUGUAAACCUCUUUUCUCAAGGAAGAAGACAUGACGGUACUUGAGGAAUAAGCCACGGCUAAUUCCGCGCCAGCAGCCGCGGUAAUACGGGAGUGGCAAGCGUUAUCCGGAAUUAUUGGGCGUAAAGCGUCCGCAGGCGGCCUUGUAAGUCUGUCGUUAAAGCGUGGAGCUCAACUCCAUUUAAGCGAUGGAAACUACAAGGCUGGAGUGUGGUAGGGGCAGAGGGAAUUCCCGGUGUAGCGGUGAAAUGCGUAGAUAUCGGGAAGAACACCAGUGGCGAAGGCGCUCUGCUGGGCCAUAACUGACGCUCAUGGACGAAAGCCAGGGGAGCGAAAGGGAUUAGAUACCCCUGUAGUCCUGGCCGUAAACGAUGAACACUAGGUGUCGGGGGAAUCGACCCCCUCGGUGUCGUAGCCAACGCGUUAAGUGUUCCGCCUGGGGAGUACGCACGCAAGUGUGAAACUCAAAGGAAUUGACGGGGGCCCGCACAAGCGGUGGAGUAUGUGGUUUAAUUCGAUGCAACGCGAAGAACCUUACCAGGGUUUGACAUCCUGCGAAUCCCUUGGAAACGAGGGAGUGCCUUCGGGAGCGCAGAGACAGGUGGUGCAUGGCUGUCGUCAGCUCGUGUCGUGAGAUGUUGGGUUAAGUCCCGCAACGAGCGCAACCCACGUCUUUAGUUGCCAGCAUUCAGUUGGGCACUCUAGAGAGACCGCCGGUGAUAAACCGGAGGAAGGUGUGGAUGACGUCAAGUCAUCAUGCCCCUUACAUCCUGGGCUACACACGUACUACAAUGCUACGGACAAAGGGCAGCAAGCUCGCGAGAGUAAGCAAAUCCCAUAAACCGUGGCUCAGUUCAGAUCGUAGGCUGCAACUCGCCUACGUGAAGGAGGAAUCGCCAGUAAUCGCAGUCAGCAUACUGGCGGUGAUACGUUCCCGGGCCUUGUACACACGCCCGUCACACCAUGGAGUGGCAUGCCGAAGUCGUUACUCACCCUUGUGAGAGACGCCGAGGUGGGGCUGAUGACUGGGGUGAGGUCGUAACAGGUACCGUUACCGGAAGGUGCCGCUUGAUCACCUCCUUAACCAGGGAGAAACAAAACUUGAUCCGUGAAGUC
This 1200-nucleotide ribosomal RNA is filed under the name uncultured cyanobacterium. RNAcentral describes it as "bacterial SSU rRNA". It matches the Rfam family "Bacterial small subunit ribosomal RNA", at positions 338 to 1533 of the family's 1533-position model. The record is from RNAcentral. Lineage: Bacteria; Bacillati; Cyanobacteriota.